This 72-nucleotide transfer RNA is filed under the name Candidatus Omnitrophota bacterium. RNAcentral's name for it is "tRNA-Arg". It matches the Rfam family "tRNA". From Rfam's summary of the family: Transfer RNA (tRNA) molecules are approximately 80 nucleotides in length. The record is from RNAcentral. Lineage: Bacteria; Pseudomonadati; Candidatus Omnitrophota.
GCGCCUGUAGCCUAACGGAUAAGGCACCAGCCUCCGGAGCUGGCUAUGCAAGUUCAACUCUUGCCAGGCGCA